UGACGAUGGUUGGGAGAGACCGGAGCGGCUGCGAUAAGCCCGCGCAAGGCACCGAAGGAGCAAGUCGCCAAACCUGCCGAAUGGCGAUUAAUCUCUCAGGUAAACGUACCGCCAUCCGAC
This 120-nucleotide non-coding RNA is filed under the name Paenibacillus sp. RNAcentral's name for it is "Glycine sequence". It matches the Rfam family "Glycine riboswitch aptamer". Rfam says of the family: This family represents the bacterial glycine riboswitch. Glycine riboswitches usually consist of two metabolite-binding aptamers domains with similar structures in tandem. The aptamers cooperatively bind glycine to regulate the expression of downstream genes. Lineage: Bacteria; Bacillati; Bacillota; Bacilli; Caryophanales; Paenibacillaceae. RNAcentral also lists the same sequence under 1 other name. The record is from RNAcentral.